CAAGAGAGAAAGAGAGAGAGAGAACUACAGCCCGAGAGACAGAGGGAAUACCGACCAACAACGUCAUGCCGCCGGGGUAUCUUUAAAACUGCGAAUGAAAAAAACUGGUUCCCAACCAUCUCGACACCACCUAUGCCCGGCCAUCCCCAUAUCCAACAGCCUCAUCCGUCGUCGUCCGUGGCCCAGCGGCUGAAGCGAACGAGUUUCUACGAUGAAUUCAUCAACAGGGUAGAUUAUGGAGGACAGAAGUGUGUAUGGUCAUGGUAUGGGCGAUUAUGGUGAAGAAGCGCCACCUGUGGCAGGAGACUGCAUUGCAUCUCGUGGGAUUUUAGGAACAAAGUCGGCGACUAAAUGAUUUGAAUAUUACUAGAUUAUUCUACCUCAAGGACACAACCUAGAACCUUGAAGAUCUGAGAGUGUGCGAAGAGGCCCAAUCAUGGGUGGAAGGCAGUGUCUAUGCGGUUCAUGUUAGCCAACGAGCUUAAUGGCUUCAGUUGUCCGUUAUUUUUGAGAUAGCAAACCAAUCUGACUAUCCACACAUUAGUCAGAACUUCAGGAACUACAUCAAGGAGUCGAAUUUACAAUAAUCAACUGCUAAUUUACAUUAAGUACAUCACUCAAAAUCAGCUAUACAAUGGCAGAAUGCACAAAAACGUUGCUUACAUAAGCGCAGACCGAUCUUUUAUCGUACCUUCGCCUGAGAAAAAGUAAAAAAAAAACCACAAACUCCAAAGUCCAAACAGCUGCUCGAGGGGCAAGCGGAGCUUACCAAAAAAUAUGACCAAACACACAUUCGCACAUAUUAACCGUCCGUGCAGGCGAGUUCGAAUGGGCGACCGAAAAAAAAAUGCAUAAAUGGAAAAUUUUCAAACCAGCUUGGUUAAUGGCAAAAUACAUAAAGCCUCUCUCCGAGCACAGCCAACACAGGAUACAAAAAAGCUGCGAUGAAAAUGAAAAUCGUUAUUACUAUAUAAGUAAAACCAAGCAUCAAAACCAGAAGAAAAGGAAACCCUCUCGGGGAAGAAAACAGUGAUUCUUCCGUGCAGGUUGAUCAGCCCAGCGGUGGCAAAGGAGCGGCAAAAGAAGAAGAAUAUGCUGAACGUAGCAAAAAAAAGGAACAAAAACACAUAAAAACGACAGUUUACCGAUUAAUCGCAUUCAAUCCACACGCCAAAACAGCACCGAAACGAGAUAUCUGGUGCCGCCGCCUUUUCCUUGCCGAUCCGGUUCGAAGCGGUUUUGCCAGCGGAUCUGGGUCUCAUCAUUAAACACCAAACAGUGCCACCGCCGAACACCCAUUCCAUUCCGGUUCGACGAAGAAACCGGGUAGAUGAUGGUCCCACAGCCUCCCUCCCUCCUCCUUCCGCACUCCAGCAUUUCACCUUCACCGACCAUCGUCGCAGUCGUCGUCGUCGUUGUUGUCGGUUUCACCGUUCGCGAGAGCACGCAUCGACCGCAUGAUCGGAUAUCUGUGGUCGUCGGCCAAUGUCAAGUGAGCGAACCACAGCGCGAGCCAAACCGUAUCCUCUCCACUCAGAGACAUGGAUACACACACACACAUACACACAUACAUAUAUUCGGGCGACGCACCUAAAAAGCAGAAGAAAGGUAGAAAUGGCAGAACAGAAAUAAAGGUUGCAUUUCGGGAGGGUGUUGUACUAAAAAAGAAUAAUAAUUCGGAAACCAUGCACCACCGUACUAAAGAUCUUUGCACAGCACGCACGGACAAACCGGCAUG
Anopheles arabiensis is the source of this 1738-nucleotide long non-coding RNA. RefSeq lists it as uncharacterized. The transcript has 3 exons. The record is from RefSeq and is a predicted model, not a curated record. Lineage: Eukaryota; Metazoa; Arthropoda; Insecta; Diptera; Culicidae.